CAGUAGCCACGGUAAUACGGAGGGUGCAAGCGUUAAUCGGAAUUACUGGGCGUAAAGCGCACGCAGGCGGUCUGACAAGUCAGAUGUGAAAUCCCCGGGCUUAACCUGGGAACUGCAUUUGAAACUGUCAGGCUGGAGUCUUGUAGAGGGGGGUGGAAUUCCAGGUGUAGCGGUGAAAUGCGUAGAGAUCUGGAGGAAUACCGGUGGCGAAGGCGGCCCCCUGGACAAAGACUGACGCUCAGGUGCGAAAGCGUGGGGAGCAAACAGGAUUAGAUACCCGCGUAGUCCCUGUCUCUUAUAC
RNAcentral lists this ribosomal RNA (301 nucleotides) under uncultured bacterium. Its description in RNAcentral is "partial 16S ribosomal RNA". It matches the Rfam family "Bacterial small subunit ribosomal RNA", at positions 509 to 807 of the family's 1533-position model. The record is from RNAcentral.